CGGGGUGUAGCUCAGGUGGCUAGAGUGCGUGCUUGGGGUGCACGAGGUCGCAAGUUCAAGUCUUGUCACUCCGA
RNAcentral lists this transfer RNA (74 nucleotides) under Oscillospiraceae bacterium HV4-5-C5C. It matches the Rfam family "tRNA". From Rfam's summary of the family: Transfer RNA (tRNA) molecules are approximately 80 nucleotides in length. Their secondary structure includes four short double-helical elements and three loops (D, anti-codon, and T loops). Further hydrogen bonds mediate the characteristic L-shaped molecular structure. tRNAs have two regions of fundamental functional importance: the anti-codon, which is responsible for specific mRNA codon recognition, and the 3' end, to which the tRNAs corresponding amino acid is attached (by aminoacyl-tRNA synthetases). tRNAs cope with the degeneracy of the genetic code in two manners: having more than one tRNA (with a specific anti-codon) for a particular amino acid; and 'wobble' base-pairing, i.e. permitting non-standard base-pairing at the 3rd anti-codon position. The record is from Rfam by way of RNAcentral. Lineage: Bacteria; Bacillati; Bacillota; Clostridia; Eubacteriales; Oscillospiraceae. RNAcentral also lists the same sequence under 3 other names.